Long non-coding RNA from Lolium perenne, 627 nucleotides. RefSeq lists it as uncharacterized. The record is from RefSeq and is a predicted model, not a curated record. Lineage: Eukaryota; Viridiplantae; Streptophyta; Magnoliopsida; Poales; Poaceae.
GCUUGCUCAUAACGGUUAGGCGCCUGCCUUUUCUUCUUCUUAUUCUUCACUCGAGAAUCAUUGCUUGUAUGGCCUUGGCUUCUUGCACUGGGAAAGUGGCAGGCAUCUGCAACGUCCAACUGUGGCAAGCAGGUUGUGUACAAAGUGUGCCUUGUACUUUUUACUCUUUUGGUCCUGGUCAGAACUGAUGGUGGUUCCUCUCUCCUUGUUUCCGUUCAUGUAUGAUUUCAGGACAACAAAGAAUGGUGACAUGGAGAUUACUCGUCUAAUAUAUUUUGGGAAGAAGUAUUUGCAUUGGAUGGUCUUGACAACAUUUGGAUACAUGACUUAUACAUUCCCUUGCUCCUGUUGCGGUGUACUCGAUUUGCUCAUCAAACUAUCUUGCAAGAACCUGCUGCGUUACUGGUGAAACACAUUGAUGAAAUACAUCGCCCCAAUUCUGAGAUGCAUGAGCGUGUCAUUGGACUACCAUGGUGAGCAGGCAAAGAGUGUAAUGAUAGUCUUGGGAGGGAGAGGGGGCAGAACUAGGUGUGGAUUUUCAAGUAGUAAUCAAUCUUGGGCCAUUCAUGCAGUUGCUUCGAUUGUACCAUGCCUGACAAAUUUAGAGUAAAUAAUCUUGGGUUGGAA